This 508-nucleotide ribosomal RNA is filed under the name uncultured bacterium. RNAcentral describes it as "partial 16S ribosomal RNA". It matches the Rfam family "Bacterial small subunit ribosomal RNA", at positions 30 to 523 of the family's 1533-position model. The record is from RNAcentral.
ACUGAACGCUGGCGGCAGGCCUAACACAUGCAAGUCGAGCGGCAGCGGGAAAGUAGCUUGCUACUUUUGCCGGCGAGCGGCGGACGGGUGAGUAAUGCCUGGGAAAUUGCCCAGUCGAGGGGGAUAACAGUUGGAAACGACUGCUAAUACCGCAUACGCCCUACGGGGGAAAGCAGGGGACCUUCGGGCCUUGCGCGAUUGGAUAUGCCCAGGUGGGAUUAGCUAGUUGGUGAGGUAAUGGCUCACCAAGGCGACGAUCCCUAGCUGGUCUGAGAGGAUGAUCAGCCACACUGGAACUGAGACACGGGCCCGACUCCUACGGGAGGCAGCAGUGGGGAAUAUUGCACAAUGGGGGAAACCCUGGUGCAGCCAUGCCGCGUGUGUGAAGAAGGCCUUCGGGUUGUAAAGCACUUUCAGCGAGGAGGAAAGGUUGAUGCCUAAUACGUAUCAACUGUGACGUUACUCGCAGAAGAAGCACCGGCUAACUCCGUGCCAGCCGCCGCCGUAA